AAUGUUUGGAUUUUUUCCUGGGAACCGCAAAAGUGCAUUACAUGGCAAACUGGCAUCCUGAAUCUGAAUGUUUGGAUAUCUUGCAUUUUCAUGUAGUAGGUGUAUUUCUUAUGCGAGCCAGAGUUUCUUAUUGUUUUAGAUCUGCCUCUAUUAAAACCAAUAAAAAAGUUAAUUGGUAAUAAACAAGUUUGAAUUGCUGAUGAGAAAAUCAUCCUAUAAGGCCCGAUUAUCAAAGCAACAACUAUUGCUUGACAUCACUGCUUUAUCCAUUAGUGCAUAUAGUUAAAUAGAAUGAUAUAGUCUACGUCCUUGUACUGAAAAGAAUGUAUUCAUCUCACCUGCUUGCUCAAGGAACUGAACCACGAUAGGUAGUACAGGGUGAGGACAGUGUAGGAUGAGCAUGAGCCUUUGAGUAAAAGGUUUUUGCCAAGCGUAAUCUUUGUAGGAAGCCUUGUUG
Molecule: unclassified non-coding RNA, 457 nt
Filed under: Hevea brasiliensis (rubber tree)
Lineage: Eukaryota; Viridiplantae; Streptophyta; Magnoliopsida; Malpighiales; Euphorbiaceae
Source: RNAcentral